This is a long non-coding RNA of Chiroxiphia lanceolata (lance-tailed manakin), 645 nucleotides long. RefSeq lists it as uncharacterized. Lineage: Eukaryota; Metazoa; Chordata; Aves; Passeriformes; Pipridae. The transcript is spliced from 3 exons. The record is from RefSeq and is a predicted model, not a curated record.
GCUGAUUUCCAGUAGAGCAGCUCUGGAAACGUUAUCCAGCCUGGACCACAGAUUUCAUGACUUCUGUUGCAAAAUCUUUGCAAUUUUAAUCUAAAACAUUUCCCAGCUUCUUAAUGCGACCAUGCAAUCCAGGUGGACACGAGAAAUCCUGAGCCUUCUUUCCAGUGACACUUGGAAAUCCUUCUGAUGCUUGAGCAGCUGCUGUGCCAUAACUGCUCUGCAACAUAGUGACCUCUCUUAUUCCCUUCCACCCUGCUGUCUAUCUGCUUAUCUGCUUUCUGCCUAUGCUGCCACAAAGGUGCCAAUCUCUCUGAUUUCUGAUUGACUCUUUGGCUGUGCAUGACCCUACCUGGUCCUCAUCCUCUGAAAUAAAAGGAGUGGCAACUUACCAACUUGCAAAGUUGUCACAAUAACUUUUGUGUAGUGAGGUGUUGAAAUAUUACACAGAUAUUCUCCACUGUCAGCUGCAGUAAGAUGGCGCAGGAUCAGUGAAAAGUCACUUCUGUUUAUCUGGGCUCGAGGCUGGUAAGAGUGGGAUGUACCAUUGAAGGAGGCCACGACUGAAGUCACUGAAUUUCUGUUCAGUUUCCAAACAACAUAGACACCUUCAGUGUUUGCAGUGUUACUGCUGUAUUCACAAGGAAU